RNAcentral lists this ribosomal RNA (301 nucleotides) under uncultured bacterium. RNAcentral's name for it is "partial 16S ribosomal RNA". It matches the Rfam family "Bacterial small subunit ribosomal RNA", at positions 509 to 807 of the family's 1533-position model. The record is from RNAcentral.
CAGUCGCCACGGUAAAACGUAGGGUGCAAGCGUUAAUCGGAAUUACUGGGCGUAAAGCGUGCGCAGGCGGUUAUAUAAGACAGAUGUGAAAUCCCCGGGCUCAACCUGGGAACUGCAUUUGUGACUGUAUAGCUAGAGUACGGCAGAGGGGGAUGGAAUUCCGCGUGUAGCAGUGAAAUGCGUAGAUAUGCGGAGGAACACCGAUGGCGAAGGCAAUUCCCUGGGCCUGUACUGACGCUCAUGCACGAAAGCGUGGGGAGCAAACAGGAUUAGAUACCCCCGUAGUCCCUGUCUCUUAUAC